CAUGUCUAUUAUGUCCUAUAACGGAGGGGCCGUCAUGGCCAUGAAGGGGAAGAACUGUGUGGCCAUCGCUGCUGACAGGCGCUUUGGGAUCCAGGCUCAGAUGGUGACCACGGACUUCCAAAAGAUCUUUCCCAUGGGCGAAUGACUGUACAUCGGCCUGGCGGGUCUUGCCACUGACAUCCAGACAGUUGCCCAGCGCCUCAAGUUCCGGCUGAACCCGUAUGAGCUGAAGGAAGGCCGGCAGAUCAAACCUUACACCCUCAUGAGCAUGGUGGCUAACCUCUUGUACGAGAAACGGUUUGGGCCCUACUACACGGAGCCGGUCAUUGCCGGAUUGGACCCGAAGACCUUUAAGCCUUUCAUUUGCUCUCUAGACCUUAUUGGCUGCCCCAUGGUGACCGAUGACUUUGUAGUCAGUGGUACCGGCACUGAACAAAUGUACGGGAUGUGCGAGUCCCUCUGGGAGCCCAACAUGGAUCCAGAACACCUGUUUGAAACCAUCUCACAAGCCAUGCUGAAUGCUGUGGACAGGGAUGCAGUGUCAGGCAUGGGAGUCAUUGUCCACAUCAUUGAGAAGGACAAAAUCACCACGAGGACACUGAAGGCCUGCAUGGACUAACUCUUCUCAGAGCCCACUUUUUUUU
Molecule: RNA transcript, 644 nt
Organism: Cervus elaphus (red deer)
Lineage: Eukaryota; Metazoa; Chordata; Mammalia; Artiodactyla; Cervidae
Gene name: proteasome subunit beta type-3-like
Exons: 1
Source: RefSeq, a predicted model, not a curated record